Molecule: ribosomal RNA, 333 nt
Filed under: Shigella sonnei
Lineage: Bacteria; Pseudomonadati; Pseudomonadota; Gammaproteobacteria; Enterobacterales; Enterobacteriaceae
Description: bacterial SSU rRNA
Rfam family: Bacterial small subunit ribosomal RNA
Source: RNAcentral
AAAUUGAAGAGUUUGAUCAUGGCUCAGAUUGAACGCUGGCGGCAGGCCUAACACAUGCAAGUCGAACGGUAACAGGAAACAGCUUGCUGUUUCGCUGACGAGUGGCGGACGGGUGAGUAAUGUCUGGGAAACUGCCUGAUGGAGGGGGAUAACUACUGGAAACGGUAGCUAAUACCGCAUAAUGUCGCAAGACUAAAGAGGGGGACCUUCGGGCCUCUUGCCAUCGGAUGUGCCCAGAUGGGAUUAGCUAGUAGGUGGGGUAACGGCUCACCUAGGCGACGAUCCCUAGCUGGUCUGAGAGGAUGACCAGCCACACUGGAACUGAGACACGGU